GGAGGGGUGCCCGAGUGGUCGAAGGGGGGCGACUCGAAAUCGUCUAGGCGGCUCGUAACCGUCUCGUGGGUUCGAAUCCCACCCUCUCCGCCA
RNAcentral lists this transfer RNA (93 nucleotides) under Synergistetes bacterium ADurb.Bin520. RNAcentral's name for it is "tRNA-Ser". It matches the Rfam family "tRNA". From Rfam's summary of the family: Transfer RNA (tRNA) molecules are approximately 80 nucleotides in length. Their secondary structure includes four short double-helical elements and three loops (D, anti-codon, and T loops). Further hydrogen bonds mediate the characteristic L-shaped molecular structure. tRNAs have two regions of fundamental functional importance: the anti-codon, which is responsible for specific mRNA codon recognition, and the 3' end, to which the tRNAs corresponding amino acid is attached (by aminoacyl-tRNA synthetases). tRNAs cope with the degeneracy of the genetic code in two manners: having more than one tRNA (with a specific anti-codon) for a particular amino acid; and 'wobble' base-pairing, i.e. permitting non-standard base-pairing at the 3rd anti-codon position. RNAcentral also lists the same sequence under 1 other name. Lineage: Bacteria; Thermotogati; Synergistota. The record is from RNAcentral.